Molecule: non-coding RNA, 114 nt
Organism: Danio rerio (zebrafish)
Lineage: Eukaryota; Metazoa; Chordata; Actinopteri; Cypriniformes; Danionidae
Source: Rfam
GUUGGAUAUGGUGACAUGUACCCGGUCACAAUUGGGGGCAAAAUUGUUGGAUCAAUGUGUGCCAUAGCAGGAGUUCUUACCAUUGCCCUUCCUGUACCAGUAAUCGUGUCGAAU